RNAcentral lists this ribosomal RNA (247 nucleotides) under uncultured bacterium. RNAcentral's name for it is "partial 16S ribosomal RNA". It matches the Rfam family "Bacterial small subunit ribosomal RNA", at positions 15 to 266 of the family's 1533-position model. The record is from RNAcentral.
GAUCCUGGCUCAGAUUGAACGCUGGCGGCAUGCCUUACACAUGCAAGUCGAACGGUAACAGGUCUUCGGACGCUGACGAGUGGCGAACGGGUGAGUAAUACAUCGGAACGUACCCAGUCGUGGGGGAUAACUACUCGAAAGAGUAGCUAAUACCGCAUACGAUCUGAGGAUGAAAGCGGGGGACCUUCGGGCCUCGCGCGAUUGGAGCGGCCGAUGGCAGAUUAGGUAGUUGGUGGGAUAAAAGCUU